This is an RNA transcript of Neocloeon triangulifer, 1735 nucleotides long. It is a transcript of the gene named transmembrane protein 98-like, with no coding region annotated. Lineage: Eukaryota; Metazoa; Arthropoda; Insecta; Ephemeroptera; Baetidae. The record is from RefSeq and is a predicted model, not a curated record. The transcript is spliced from 6 exons.
ACGCCGGAAUGAUGCCCAAAGAAGUGCUUGUGCUGGCAGUUUUGGUUAUUUUAGGAAUAGUUUUUAUAGCUUGUCUCGUUCUCUUUGUCUACAUUUGCAGAUCAAGACAUGCAAAGAAGAUGACCAGCGAAAUCCUUAUUCCAAACGGACCAACCGUGGAAGAUUUCCGCCUUCAUCCGAACAUUGAGCAAAUUUUGAUGCGAGACCUGCUGAUGGACACAACUGAACUAGAACCGCAGUGCCUGGCCAUUCUCAGGUCUUGCCACAAAGUCACCGAAAUUCUAUCAGCCAUCGCCGUUUCCCUGGUGCACAACCACAAGCUGCAGAGAGUUGCCGAGGUGGCGAGACAAACUUCGGACAGGGUGGAUGACGUCAUAAGGAGCAUGUAUCCGCCGGUGGACAGUCGUCUGUUGGAGGCGAGGGCGGUCGCUUUGGUGCUGACGGUUUCUCACCUGGCCACUUUGAUGCACUUCACCUACAAACACAAUCAAAAGGUGGCCAAGGAGAUUGAGCGGGAAUUGGCUGCCGUGGAGCCUUUUCUGCAGAGUAUCAAGUGUGCGCCUGCUCCAAUCUGUUUUCUGCUGCCCAGCAUCCUGUUUUAAAGAUUUACUUCAGUUCAUGUGCAGUAGAAGAAACAGGGCAUUAUAUCAGAGUGAAACAAAACCAACGAAGGAGUAAAAGAAAUACUUAAAAUAGGCUUAAAGAAGCGUCAGAAAAAACAGGCCAAACUUCAAGCAUGGACCCGUUUAUAUUUCCCUAUGAAUCAGUCUACAUAACAUUCUUUGCAAUUAUGAUUAUGACAUAUUUUGGAUAUAUUGUUUAUAUUGGUUAUAAAUUUUGGAAAAAGAUGAAACAGGAUAAUGAAAGCGAAGCGGUCACAUCAAGGACAAUAUAUCGUCCCUCAAAUUCUGGACCGGCAAUAUUCUUUACAGAUUCCAGUUCGGCAAACAACCAAUAUGACCCAGUCCCAAAAUAUGAUUGUCCUCCAGCCUACGAAUCUGAACCUCGCCAACCCCCAUCUUACGAGUUUGCCACUGCAAAUCGGAACCAAUUGUAUUCUGUAAUAGUUUAAAACUCACAAGAGAUCUCUUACAAUGGAAUCCAUAUUCCAGAAGUUUGUUCACCAAAGCAAUAAAUAUUAAAUUUUUAUAUGGAAUUACGAGUCAUUAUUUGUUUUAAGCCGUUUGUAUUUUUAACAUGGCUACAUAAAAAAUCGCCAUGAAUUUGAGGAAUUUUUCUUUCAAAAUUAUAUAAGUUGUUUUGUAGCAAAAUAAGUUAAUUCAAACACUGCAGGAAAAGCAUUUUUUUUAUAUAUAUUUACUCUUUUUGACUCUUGCUGCUUUUUUUACUUUGUGUUUGCUUCUGUGAUUGGCCAAUAUAUAUUAUUUGUAACUUUUCAAAGAACACACGGACGCACACACGAUUUAAUUUGAUUUAGAAUUACUAAUUAUAUUGAUUGAUGUGUGUGUCUGCGCCAGCGGAAACUGUUUAUUUUUUCAUCAUAUAAAAUCUUAUAUAGCCAACAACGGAAUUCCCAAACUGCGAUCUGACACUGGUCUCCGCUUGUGCGAUUAAGAGUCAAAUAUAUUUAGAGCAUGAUUUCUUACAUCCGCUCAUCUAUCUUCAGGAGGAAAAGAAGUUAUGUAGACCACGAAAGUUAAAAUCAAUCCGGAUAGGCAUUACAAUUAAAACGAUGAAAUAACAAAAUUGAUGUAAAAUUACCAAUAAACUUAAU